RNAcentral lists this small RNA (153 nucleotides) under Arabidopsis thaliana (thale cress). RNAcentral's name for it is "ATSL057170". The record is from RNAcentral. Lineage: Eukaryota; Viridiplantae; Streptophyta; Magnoliopsida; Brassicales; Brassicaceae.
AUAUUGAAGUAGUUUUUGUUUGGCUCCUCUUCUUCUACCUGAACAUUAUAUCAAAUAGUUAUCAUCAGUUGGGAUAAAUAGAAAUUCAUCAUGGAACUCUGCGGAAACAAGACAAGAAUUCUCGUUUUUCAUAUCUCAAUAUAUACAUUUAUA